This 643-nucleotide ribosomal RNA is filed under the name uncultured bacterium. RNAcentral describes it as "bacterial SSU rRNA". It matches the Rfam family "Bacterial small subunit ribosomal RNA", at positions 97 to 726 of the family's 1533-position model. The record is from RNAcentral.
GGCGGACGGGUGAGUAACACGUGGGCAACCUGCCUGUAAGACUGGGAUAACCCCGGGAAACCGGAGCUAAUACCGGAUAACUUGGGUCGCCGCAUGGUGACCGAAUAAAAGAUGGUUUCGGCCAUCACUUACAGAGGGGCCCGCGGCGCAUUAGCUAGUUGGUAAGGUAAUGGCUUACCAAGGCACCGAUGCGUAGCCAACCUGAGAGGGUGAUCGGCCACACUGGGACUGAGACACGGCCCAGACUCCUACGGGAGGCAGCAGUAGGGAAUCUUCCGCAAUGGACGAAAGUCUGACGGAGCAACGCCGCGUGAGUGAGGAAGGUUUUCGGAUCGUAAAGCUCUGUUGUUGGUGAAGAACCCUCCUGUUAGGAAAUGAACAGGAGUUGACGGUAGCCAACCAGAAAGCCCCGGCUAACUACGUGCCAGCAGCCGCGGUAAUACGUAGGGGGCAAGCGUUGUCCGGAAUAAUUGGGCGUAAAGCGCGCGCAGGCGGCUUCUUAAGUCUGAUGUGAAAGCCCACGGCUCAACCGUGGAGGGUCAUUGGAAACUGGGGAGCUUGAGGACAGAAGAGGAGAGUGGAAUUCCACGUGUAGCGGUGAAAUGCGUACAUAUGUGGAGGAACACCAGUGGCGAAGGCGGCU